RNAcentral lists this unclassified non-coding RNA (429 nucleotides) under Hevea brasiliensis (rubber tree). The record is from RNAcentral. Lineage: Eukaryota; Viridiplantae; Streptophyta; Magnoliopsida; Malpighiales; Euphorbiaceae.
CUACGUGCUUUUCUGCACAGAAUCUUCAGGUAUACGGCGGUUCCCAAAAAGAGAAUUGAUAGAAUCGUCGGGAUUGUUUUUUAAGGGGUAAUUUCUUUUUUUCACUUUUUUGAUCCAACGGUUGUUUGAAUUGUAGUUUUUGAAAGAUUGAUGAUAUUUGGCGUUGGAGUCAUCAUUGACCGUAAGAUCAGUAGUUUGUGAUUUGACCAUGAUGGAGUUAGUGAAACUGAUCAUCGGUGGAGAUCAUCUCUCCUCUCUGGUCCUCUCAUUCUGCAUGUAGGUGGGUGUGCUUGAUUUUGAUUUUUUAAGCUGUUGCUCUACUCAGAUCGUAUACAGUAGGGAAGAAAUAGAAGGUAAACAGUAUCAUUGAAUUUUAAGUUAGGGAAUUGGCCUAUGAAAUUAAGGGUGAGCUCUCCUGGAAUUGGGUUG